GGAAGCAUCGAUUCUUUCGAACAGUUCGAGCAGCUAUUCAUGGAAUAUUUUGGUACAAAUUGAAGAGUGUCCAAAACUAUUGACAGCCUUUUCUCUAUUAACCAGUAGGAUGGAGAAUCUUUGCGAAAGUUUGUGGUGUGUUUCAACACAGCCACCUUGGAGGUCAAGGACCUCGAUCAGGCGACGGCCAUCACGAUGAUGAAGCGGA
Molecule: long non-coding RNA, 208 nt
Filed under: Elaeis guineensis (African oil palm)
Lineage: Eukaryota; Viridiplantae; Streptophyta; Magnoliopsida; Arecales; Arecaceae
Description: long non-coding RNA (EGUI_LNC008634)
Source: RNAcentral